Oreochromis niloticus (Nile tilapia) is the source of this 2577-nucleotide long non-coding RNA. RefSeq lists it as uncharacterized. The transcript is spliced from 2 exons. The record is from RefSeq and is a predicted model, not a curated record. Lineage: Eukaryota; Metazoa; Chordata; Actinopteri; Cichliformes; Cichlidae.
UGUAAACGGACCAAACUUCAGUCAGGAGAACAACUGAGAUAAUCCAUCCACAAUACCAGGAACGCUAGCUUAAGUGUUUUGGCAACACUAACACAAGCGGACUGUGGUACAGAACGCUGCUGCUCGCAUGCUGACCGCUUCCAAAAAGAGAGACCACAUCACUCCGGUCCUCUGCUCUCUCCACUGGCUCCCAGUUGCUUUUAGGAUUGAUUUUAACGGUACUGCACCUCCUUACAUGGCAGAGCUUCUUAGCAUUUACUGCCCCAGGAGAUCUUUGAGGUCAGCAGACUUGAUGCUUUUAGAUGUUCCCAGGUACAGAUUAAAGACUAGGGGAGAGAGGGCUUUUGCUGUGGCUGCACCCAGACUGUGAAACAGUUUACCCCCCCCACAUCAGCCUAGGAACUUUUAAAACUGCUCUUAAAACUCACCUCUUUUCAUUGGCUUUUAGCAAGGUUUAACCUAUUGUUUUAAUUUCUUGUUUUAUCAGUGAGGUAUUUUAUGUACCUGUGUUUUAUAGUAUUUUAUAUUUGUAUUUUAUUGUACAGCACUUUGGUCAGCCUUGGUUGUUUUUAAAUGUGCUUUAUAAAUAAACUUGACUUGACUUGACAAGCGAGGAGAGAAUUUCAUUCUACAGUGCAGGUGCACAACCUGGAUUCAGGUGCAUUACUACAGUGAACAUGUCUUAACCCGCUUUAACUCUAGACUUUUACAUCUUUCAGACGAGUGCACAGGGUUUACUCUUAAGUAUUUUGAGACAAAAAACAACUAUGACUAAAAAAAUGGCAUGAAAUAAUUAAUAAGCACAUUUAAACAAUUAUUAAACAUUAUUUAUUUUAGCUAGCUCACUUGUUCAAACCUACUGAAAAUUCAGUGCCUGGACCUGGAUAUUUUUAUGCUACUUUCUAGUCAUAAUCUGUCCAUUUCCCUUUUUUCCAUCCGUCCGUUCUCUUUUGCUUAUGCUUGUCAGGAUCGUGUGUGUGGGGAGGGCGGGGGCUAUCCCAGCUACCACAGGGUACACCCUGGACAGGUCGCCAGUCUCUCACAGGGCUAAAACAUAGAGACAGACUCACAUUCACACCUAUGGACAAUAUAGAAUUACCAAUUAACCUAACCACACUAAGUGCACACUAAGAACCCACGCAAACAGGGGGGAGAACGUGUAAACUCCACAGACCCUGGCCAGGUGUGAGGCAACAGUGCUAAUCACCGCGCCACCAUGCUGCCCCUAUUUUAUUAUUAUUCCCUUCCUUUAUUACCACUGGUAUGAUCAGAAGUUCAAGUUUGCCUUGUUUUAAUGUCUGCAUGAAAAUCUACUUGUCUGGUUGCAGACUCUACUGGAAACACGGCAUUCCCUACUUUAGGGAAUGGUAACUAUGUGAACUGACAUGUAAUUUCACAGUUAGCAAGCUAUGGGAAGACAUUCAAAUGCCUACCGUUUCAUAUAGCAAUAAAUAAAACUACAUCGCAUUUGUGGCUUGACUCCACAACCCAACAAACUGUCAAAUUUUGCUAUUUGAUGCAGAGAUUAAGUGAAGCGCACCUGUGUUAUGAGAAGAAGAGGCAAACUGGACUGGACAGUGCAAGCAGCGUCCACGCAUUCCAGCUCGAUAAGGAAAUCUGGGCACCAUGGUGAGCUCGGUUCAUGGAUGCAGACCUUCCAAGCAGAACAUGUGAGAAACAUCACAAGGCAGACUGCUUCGUUCACAGGGAAGGGCCAUUUACUUGUCAACGGGGUCUGAAUUGUGGGACGGGUGGAAUCGAAACACACCGACCAUAUGUGGCUCCACACUGCUACCCUUUCCAUAUGGGAAUAUUUACAUGUCUCCUUUGUUGUACAAAGAUCAAAGCAGAGGAAAUUCAUUUGAGUUGAUUUUAUGACACAUUUUAGCAAAUUUACAGGGGGCAACUUUAUAUACCCUGUAAAAGCUGUUCCACAGCAUGGAAGAUCACCCCAUUAAGUCUUAAUACAACGGAAAUUUGAUGUUAAACUUGAGCUGUUGCUCCAAAGUGUGAGUGGCAAAACCUUGAUAUCAAUCUGUGACCUACACUAUCAGCAAUAAUGGCUGCAGAGGCACUCCUCAAAGCAGAACACCAUAAAUUUAUUGUGGAAAAAAACAAACAAAAAAUUAAGCAGACAAACAACCAAAACAAAGAAAAACACCACUGGGAAGAAAGGUCUACUCUGGCACAUGGUUCAUUUUAUAAUACAAAAAGGAGAAAAAAUGGGGCUACAAAGCUUGAUAAUUUAUACAAAUACAACAACUUUCAAAAAUAAAUUUUAAUUUAGUAAACGCUCCGUGAACAAGUUUCUGCAAUAGCCCGCCGCUUGAGAUCCCUGAGCAGAGACACAGAGUGAAACAUUUUUUUUCUCAAACACCUUCAUUAAAACAAGUUGUCAGUGUUUCUUCAUGAACACUUUAUAUAUACAUGUGAUAAUAACACGAUAUGUCUGAUGUGUGUGACAUACAGUGCUGGGAAUUAAUGUGAACUGUGAAUCUUAGUGAAAAUUUCACUGUCGCCAUAAUAGUUAAAAACAGAACGGUGUUAUAGCAUUAUGACUGUAACAAAUGACUUAAA